UGGCUUAACCAUAGAACUGCAUGUGAAACUACAACCCUAGAGUGUGGGAGAGGUAGGUGGAAUUCUUGGUGUAGGGGUAAAAUCCGUAGAGAUCAAGAGGAAUACUCAUUGCGAAGGCGACCUGCUGGAACAAUACUGACGCUGAUUGCACGAAAGCGUGGGGAGCAAACAGGAUUAGAUACCCUGGUAGUCCACGCCCUAAACGAUGGAUGCUAGUUGUUGGGGGGCUUUGUCCUCCCAGUAAUGCAGCUAACGCCUUAAGCAUCCCGCCUGGGGAGUACGGUCGCAAGAUUAAAACUCAAAGGAAUAGACGGGGACCCGCACAAGCGGUGGAGCAUGUGGUUUAAUUCGAAGAUACACGAAGAACCUUACCUAGGCUUGACAUUGAAGGAAUCUGCUAGAAAUAGCGGAGUGUCUAGCUUGCUAGACCCUGAAAACAGGUGCUGCACGGCUGUCGUCAGCUCGUGUCGUGAGAUGUUGGGUUAAGUCCCGCAACGAGCGCAACCCUCUUUCUUAGUUGCUAACAGGUUACGCUGAGCUCUCUAAGAAGACUGCCUGCGUAAGCAGGAGGAAGGUGAGGACGACGUCAAGUCAUCAUGGCCCUUACGCCUAGGGCUACACACGUGCUACAAUGGGGCGCACAAAGAGAUGCAAUGCUGCGAAGCUGAGCCAAUCUUCAAAACGCCUCUCAGUUCGGAUUGUAGGCUGCAACUCGCCUGCAUGAAGCUGGAAUCGCUAGUAAUCGCAAAUCAGCCAUGUUGCGGUGAAUACGUUCCCGGGUCUUGUACUCACCGCCCGUCACACCAUGGGAGUUGUGUUUGCCUUAAGUCAGGAUGCUAAAGCAGCUACUGCCCACGGCACACACAGCGACUGGGGUGAAGUCGUAACAAGGUAACCGUAGGUGAACCUGCGGUUGGAUCACCUCCUU
Molecule: ribosomal RNA, 928 nt
Filed under: Helicobacter heilmannii ASB1.4
Lineage: Bacteria; Pseudomonadati; Campylobacterota; Epsilonproteobacteria; Campylobacterales; Helicobacteraceae
Description: SSU rRNA
Rfam family: Bacterial small subunit ribosomal RNA
Source: RNAcentral